UACAGAGGGGGCAAGCGUUGUUCGGAAUUACUGGGCGUAAAGGGCGCGUAGGCGGCCUUCUAAGUCGAACGUGAAAUCCCUGGGCUCAACCCAGGAACUGCGUCCGAUACUGAAAGGCUUGAAUCCGGGAGAGGGAUGCGGAAUUCCAGGUGUAGCGGUGAAAUGCGUAGAUAUAUGGAAGAACAUCAAUAACGGCGAAGGCAGUUAACUAUUCUGCUACUGACAUUGAGGCACGAAAGCGUGGGGAGCAAAAAGG
This 256-nucleotide ribosomal RNA is filed under the name uncultured bacterium. RNAcentral describes it as "partial 16S ribosomal RNA". It matches the Rfam family "Bacterial small subunit ribosomal RNA", at positions 524 to 776 of the family's 1533-position model. The record is from RNAcentral.